This 447-nucleotide ribosomal RNA is filed under the name uncultured bacterium. Its description in RNAcentral is "SSU rRNA". It matches the Rfam family "Bacterial small subunit ribosomal RNA", at positions 26 to 518 of the family's 1533-position model. The record is from RNAcentral.
AGAGCGAACGCUGGCGGCAGGCCUAACACAUGCAAGUCGAGCGCCCGUAGCAAUACGGGAGCGGCAGACGGGAUAGUAACACGUGGGAACGCGCCCUUCGGUUCGGAAUAACUCAGGGAAACUUGAGCUAAUACCGGAUACGCCCUUACGGGGAAAGAUUUAUUGCCGAAGGAACGGCCCGCGUCCGAUUAGCUAGUUGGUGAGGUAAUGGCUCACCAAGGCGACGAUCGGUAGCUGGUCUGAGAGGAUGACCAGCAUCACUGGGACUGAGACACGGCCCAGACUCCUACGGGAGGCAGCAGUGGGGAAUAUGGACAAUGGGCGCAAGCCUGAUCCAGCCAUGCCGCGUGAGUGAUGAAGGCCUUAGGGUUGUAAAGCUCUUUCGCCAGGGACGAUAAUGACGGUACCUGGAGAAGAAGCCCCGGCCAACUUCGUGCCAGCAGCCGC